Long non-coding RNA from Peromyscus leucopus (white-footed mouse), 962 nucleotides. RefSeq lists it as uncharacterized. The transcript has 3 exons. Lineage: Eukaryota; Metazoa; Chordata; Mammalia; Rodentia; Cricetidae. The record is from RefSeq and is a predicted model, not a curated record.
AGCAAAGUUACAGUCUGAUGUGAAUUAGAAAAUCAUCCACCUUCUCUAAGAUGAACCCAAGACCUCAGGUUCUAUCCCAGCAUCCUUAUCGCAGCAUGGGCUGUGACCUAUACAACUGUCUUAUCACAUCACUUAGUAUUUGGUGUCUCUGAUCCCAGGUAUUUCUUUUUUCCUUUAGCUCUCCAGUCUACAUGCUCUUGAAUAUAGCUGGCCUUUUUCUUCAGUAAUUCCUUCUUGGAAAGGAAGAUUAGUGAUUCAGUAAAACCCAAUCUUCUGACCCAUCCAAGGAAGGAGGCCUAGGACUUCAUCUCUAUGCUGACAUUGUCUAAAGGUGAGAGAGAUGAUUCCAGAGGAGCCACUGCCUGCAGACAGAGACAACGGGAGCCCAUCUUUAUAUUGCUUGACCAUUGGUACACAUUCCUAGGGCGAGAGUUGCUUUGAAAAGUUUCCAGAUUUCCUCAGAUGAAAAUCUGCAAAUAUUCCAGCUUCUUCAGACAUUCCCUAUGGGUACUAUAAAGGCAGAGUCCACGAAGAGGAUGAAGAGGUGUGGCAGAAGUGUGAACAGCAAUUUUGACAACUGGCCACUUUAGAUCGGAAUCCCGAGUAAAAGCAUGAAACUGGGGCAAAUAGAGAAAUGACUGGGAGAAGAAAGUCCUUGGAACGUUUCAACACUGGAGAGAAUUGGGCUUCUCUUCCACCCACACCUCUUGUGUCAUAGAAUGUUAGAGUGAUAAGAGGCCGUCAUGAUGGCCAUGCUCACCUCUCUCAUUUCACCAAGAAACAACCAAGAUCAGCAGGGGAGAGCUGUCUUCACGCCACACAACCAGCAUGUAGUGGAGUACAGAGUAGUAGCUACAUCCCAAGACUCUGGGUUUGCUAUACUUACCACCAUAGGUUACAGCCUAGUUCCAUUUCACAAGUGUAGCCCAAGGGCUGGUAAACUUGGCCCAUGGGCCAAAUCC